This 507-nucleotide ribosomal RNA is filed under the name uncultured bacterium. RNAcentral describes it as "bacterial SSU rRNA". It matches the Rfam family "Bacterial small subunit ribosomal RNA", at positions 8 to 518 of the family's 1533-position model. The record is from RNAcentral.
AGAGUUGAUCCUGGCUCAGGAUGAACGCUGGCGGCGUGCCUAACACAUGCAAGUCGAACGGAGUAAUUAAGCGGAAGUCUCGGAUGGAAGCUCAGCUACUUAGUGGCGGACGGGUGAGUAACGCGUGGGCAACCUGCCCUGUACCGGGGGAUAACACUUAGAAAUAGGUGCUAAUACCGCAUAAGCGCACGGUCUCGCAUGAGACAGUGUGAAAAACUCCGGUGGUACAGGAUGGACCCGCGUCUGAUUAGCUAGUUGGUGGGGUAGAGGCCUACCAAGGCGACGAUCAGUAGCCGGCCUGAGAGGGUGACCGGCCACAUUGGGACUGAGACACGGCCCAAACUCCUACGGGAGGCAGCAGUGGGGAAUAUUGCACAAUGGGGGAAACCCUGAUGCAGCGACGCCGCGUGAGUGAAGAAGUAUUUCGGUAUGUAAAGCUCUAUCAGCAGGGAAGAAAAUGACGGUACCUGACUAAGAAGCCCCGGCUAACUACGUGCCAGCCGCCGC